Molecule: ribosomal RNA, 245 nt
Filed under: uncultured Desulfobulbus sp.
Lineage: Bacteria; Pseudomonadati; Thermodesulfobacteriota; Desulfobulbia; Desulfobulbales; Desulfobulbaceae
Description: partial 16S ribosomal RNA
Rfam family: Bacterial small subunit ribosomal RNA
Source: RNAcentral
UACGGAGGGUGCGAGCGUUGUUCGGAAUCACUGGGCGUAAAGGGCGCGCAGGCGGCUUGGUCAGUCAGAUGUGAAAUCCCACGGCUUAACUGUGGACGUGCAUUUGAAACUGCCUGGCUUGAGUACCAGAGGGGAAAGUGGAAUUCCCGGUGUAGAGGUGAAAUUCGUAGAUAUCGGGAGGAAUACCGGUGGCGAAGGCGACUUUCUGGCUGGAUACUGACGCUGAGGCGCGAAAGCGUGGGGAG